UUGGUUCGAAUGGUUCUUUCUGGUGUAAAAAGAACUGAUUUGUGGGCUUCCGACUGCUUCGGCCUUCGAUGGAUUAUUUUGAUAGAUAAGAAUAUAAAUGGAAUAUAAAAAAAUCAAAUGCGAUAUUUAUUUUCGAUUUCUUUGCUUCCAGAUCCUCACAGUGAAAAGUUCAGUCGAGGGGUUUUCUCGGUGUUUCGCCCUUGUGGAUGCUUCCGUCUGUUCCCUCCUUCGCUGGAGCGUUUUUAUUGACAGUAAACAGUUAACUGCGAUUUCCCCGGAUUUCAGCUGACCAGCUGCUUCGUGGAUGCUUCCGUCGCUGGAGCGCUUAUACAUUGAUCGGGAGUCAACAUUGUAAAGCUUCCCCGAGAAAAUUUGUCUAUAGAUAGAAAAAAUGGAGAAUUUAUUGACACAAUUAGAUGAUGCCACAAAGCAAAAACUCGCAGGUAU
Molecule: long non-coding RNA, 447 nt
Organism: Topomyia yanbarensis
Lineage: Eukaryota; Metazoa; Arthropoda; Insecta; Diptera; Culicidae
Exons: 3
Source: RefSeq, a predicted model, not a curated record